AGAAUCAACGCUGGCGGCGUGCCUAACACAUGCAAGUCGAACGAGAAAGUGGAGCAAUCCAUGAGUAAAGUGGCGCACGGGUGAGUAACACGUGACUAACCUACCCUCGAGUGGGGAAUAACUUCGGGAAACCGAGGCUAAUACCGCAUAAUACCUUCGGGUCAAAGGAGCAAUUCGCUUAAGGAGGGGGUCGCGGCCGAUUAGUUAGUUGGCGGGGUAAUGGCCCACCAAGACGAUGAUCGGUAUCCGGCCUGAGAGGGCGCACGGACACACUGGAACUGAAACACGGUCCAGACUCCUACGGGAGGCAGCAGUGGGGAAUUUUGCGCAAUGGGGGAAACCCUGACGCAGCAACGCCGCGUGGAGGAUGAAGCCCCUUGGGGCGUAAACUCCUUUCGAUCGGGACGAUUAUGACGGUACCGGAAGAAGAAGCCCCGGCUAACUUCGUGCCAGCAGCCGC
Molecule: ribosomal RNA, 460 nt
Filed under: uncultured bacterium
Lineage: Bacteria
Description: SSU rRNA
Rfam family: Bacterial small subunit ribosomal RNA
Source: RNAcentral